UACGAAGGGGACUAGCGUUGUUCGGAAUUACUGGGCGUAAAGCGCACGUAGGCGGAUCUGUUAGUCAGGGGUGAAAUCCCGGGGCUCAACCUCGGAACUGCCUUUGAUACUGCAAAUCUCGAGUCCGAUAGAGGUGGGUGGAAUUCCUAGUGUAGAGGUGAAAUUCGUAGAUAUUAGGAAGAACACCGGUGGCGAAGGCGGCCCACUGGAUCGGUACUGACGCUGAGGUGCGAAAGCGUGGGGAGCAAACAGG
Molecule: ribosomal RNA, 253 nt
Filed under: uncultured bacterium
Lineage: Bacteria
Description: partial 16S ribosomal RNA
Rfam family: Bacterial small subunit ribosomal RNA
Source: RNAcentral